This 1589-nucleotide long non-coding RNA is filed under the name Phoenix dactylifera (date palm). RNAcentral describes it as "long non-coding RNA (PDAC_LNC013728)". The record is from RNAcentral. Lineage: Eukaryota; Viridiplantae; Streptophyta; Magnoliopsida; Arecales; Arecaceae.
UACCAGUAUAUGCUGACAGGUAUCAUAUACUGCUUUUUUCCCUCUUUAUAAGAAAUUAGACACUACAUGGUCUUUUUCAUUUCAGUUUAUCCGUCAGAUGUUUGUAACUGAAUUUCUAGGGUCCAAAGCCAUUUCUUUUUUAAUAUGCAUCUGAUUAAGCAAAGUGUUCAUAGGAGAUUUCUUUCAUCUAAACACAGUUUUAAUUUAAAUGCAAUGAUGUGAUUCUGAGUGAUCACAGGGAUGCUUUCCAGUUACCUGAGAAUAAACUAAAGAAUUUUUUGUGUAUCUACCAGCAGAUUUUUUCCAUGGCAUUGAUGUUGUAGGUGAUGUUCAUCUAAGCUCUUCUCUACGUUCUACCUUUGACUAAGUGUUCAGAAUAAAAGCUAAUUUUAGCUGGAUUUGAGAACCCAUUCUAAAUUUAAUACGUCACAAAUAAAUCUAUGAGAUGUUUAUAUGAGAAGAAAAUUAUGUUUUUGCCAACCUGGACAAUGUACCUUGGAUGAGAAUGAGUCUGUUUUCGGUAUCUGAAAGUUGCUGUACAGGAAAAUAAUAUAGACAAGAUCCUGAAAAGAUUGCCAUAACUUUAUCAGUUUAUAUUGCAUAGGUAAGAUCCCCAGCCGAUAGAAGUCCUCUUAGGUGCUGCUCACGAGACCUUUGGGAUUAUGGAACCUUGUGAUAUGAAGUACCGUUCUUGUAGCUUGCCAUGAUAUUUAAUUUACCAUAAAGGAUAUGGCAUGAAGCGGAUGAAUAUUAGAAUCCUUUAUUUUCUUAAUAAAAUAAAGAGAUAACAAUUGCAGUAGAUAUGUGGUUCUGGGUUUUGGUAGAAAUUAUAUCUACUUCUAAGCUGCUUAUCCAAUUUAUUACUGAUUUCUAGGUUUAGGUCCCAUGAUAUCUGAGCUGCAUAUUUCGAAUUGAUCCAGUUGACUGCCAUGUAAUUCUAUAUGACAAGGAAAGUAUAAUUCAAGAGGAUGGCGAGAACUGUUAAUGCAUAAUGUGCUCACAUACAGAAAUCCAUAUAAUGUCUUCUUUUGUUAUCACUUUUAAUAGAUUGUAAUCCAUUUUGUCCCAUUCUCUGGAGGAGGAAUUUCCCAAUCUCUGCCUUCUUUUUUUCAUAGGAAAGGGAUAAAAUGGAUCACUUGCACUAUAAUUAUCCAGGUCUGAAUACUGAGAAUGCAACAUCCAAGACUCAAACCAAGAAGCUCAGAGAGGUGUGGCCAUUGGGAUAAGCCCCAGUUCCCUGAUUCACGAGGAAGAAUUUGUCUUCAAUCUUCAGAUUGAUGAUGACCCUUUUGAUGGAGCAGUAGCAGAAAUAUAUUUCAUGAAGGAAUAACACAGUAAAUUUAUUCAAGCUUUAGCUGGAAAGGUUAAAAGAAAAACCAGAGAAUUCAGAUCAGAUUAUUCUCAUUCAGUUUAGUUUUAUAUUUUUGGAGAAUGAGGUAUAUGUUCUUUUUCUUUUAUCAAGUGUUUUAGUACUAUUGGAAUGUAACUAUGCUUGUAAACUGCAGACAGUUCUUGUAUUUGUCGUUACUAGUGAAUAGUUUUAGUACUUGGAAUGCAAACUAAUAUGCCCAUGGGUGUCUCCUCUCUAU